UUUACCAAAGGACUUCCGUUGCAACUGUUUGAAGAUUUUCGUGAUAGUCUCAACAUUCGUCAACCUCCCGUUUCGACUACGGGGGUGUAUUAGACUAUUAUUGUAUUUGAUUAGCAAUAAUUAUAUUUGAUUAGCAAUGAUUGUAUUUUGAUGAGUCAUAAUUGUAAUAGAAAACUCUUUGUAUAUAACCUAUCACAAAGUAAUGGAAAGGCGAGGCCUAUUAUUCUUACAAAAAUAUUAUCAUGUGUCCCACGACACUGUAUUACAUCUUCCAUAAUUUAAUUAUACAACUUAGAACAAGGACAUAUUACAAAUAAUUAAUUGCCAGCAAAUAGAACAGACAACAAAAACAAACUAACCACACAACAACCUUUCUAAAUAUUUUUGUGCCAAUGACGUUUAUAAACCAUAAAUACUUUUUUUUUUUUCCUCUUACGAUUUUCUAGUCAAUAAUAUGGUGACAUUGAAAAACUUAGUUUUCUCC
RNAcentral lists this long non-coding RNA (484 nucleotides) under Trifolium pratense (red clover). Its description in RNAcentral is "long non-coding RNA (TPRA_LNC011211)". The record is from RNAcentral. Lineage: Eukaryota; Viridiplantae; Streptophyta; Magnoliopsida; Fabales; Fabaceae.